Molecule: ribosomal RNA, 607 nt
Filed under: uncultured bacterium
Lineage: Bacteria
Description: bacterial SSU rRNA
Rfam family: Bacterial small subunit ribosomal RNA
Source: RNAcentral
CUGGCGGCGUGCCUAACACAUGCAAGUCGAACGAGAAAGUGGAGCAAUCCAUGAGUAAAGUGGCGACCGGGUGAGUAACACGUGACUAACCUACCUCCGAGUGGGGAAUAACUCCGGGAAACCGGGGCUAAUACCGCAUAACAUCGCAAGAUCAAAGCAGCAAUGCGCUUGGAGAGGGGGUCGCGGCUGAUUAGCUCGUUGGCGGGGUAACGGCCCACCAAGGCGAAGAUCGGUAUCCGGCCUGAGAGGGCGCACGGACACACUGGAACUGAAACACGGUCCAGACUCCUACGGGAGGCAGCAGUGGGGAAUUUUGCGCAAUGGGGGAAACCCUGACGCAGCAACGCCGCGUGGAGGAUGAAGCCCUUUGGGGCGUAAACUCCUUUCGACUCGGACGAUAAUGACGGUACGAGUGGAAGAAGCACCGGCUAACUCUGUGCCAGCAGCCGCGGUAAUACAGAGGGUGCGAGCGUUGUUCGGAAUUAUUGGGCGUAAAGGGCGCGUANGCGGUGCGGUAAGUCACCUGUGAAAUCUCCUGGCUUAACUGGGAGCCUGCAGGCGAAACUACCGUGCUGGAGUGUGGGAAAGGUGCGUGGAAUUCCCGGUG